Molecule: unclassified non-coding RNA, 88 nt
Filed under: Pseudomonas mediterranea
Lineage: Bacteria; Pseudomonadati; Pseudomonadota; Gammaproteobacteria; Pseudomonadales; Pseudomonadaceae
Source: RNAcentral
UGUGGGAGCGAGCCUGCUCGCGAUGCAGUGGAUCAGUCACCUCGGUAGCGAUUGUGACUCAGCCAUCGCGAGCAGGCUCGCUCCCACA